This 375-nucleotide long non-coding RNA is filed under the name Bos taurus (domestic cattle). RNAcentral describes it as "long non-coding RNA NONBTAT023932". Lineage: Eukaryota; Metazoa; Chordata; Mammalia; Artiodactyla; Bovidae. The record is from RNAcentral.
GAAAUGACUCUUAAGAAAAAAAUGAGGGAGAUUUAUUAGAACCACAUGAGGUUUCCAGCAGGACUACACAUGACUCUGUUCAGUCCAGAGUUAUUCAUCUGGUGUUGCAGCAAGUGGGAUUUUCUGUAACAUGGUCUUCAGGCCCAUCUCCAACACAGGGAAAGCCUGCAACAUCUUGAAAUGCCUUUUGGAAGAAAAAACUUCACAGAACAUACAGCUGUUGCAUUGCACUUGUUUACUGAACUUCACAGGUCUUUUCCAAGACACGUAGACACUGCAGUCUGCCGCACACACUGGGCUUACGAUUACACUGUGCUGUCUCGUACGCUAGCGGCCCUCACUGAGAGCACGGUGCACACCUGAACGUGCUGCUGC